AUGUAUAUUGGUGCAAAUCUUGCCCUACAAACUAAGCUGAUAGCAGCUCACCAUGAUACUGCAGUGGGAGGCCAUUCAAGUAUUCAGGCCACAUACCAUAGAUUGAAGCAGCUGUAUUAUUGGCCAGGUCUUAAGGUUGCUGUGGAAAAUUAUAUCCAUCAAUGUAUAGUGUGUCAACAAGCAAAACACACUAAUUCAAAACCAGCUGGCCUUCUGCAACCCUUGCCACCCCCCGACAGUCCUUGGACUGAAUUGACAAUGGAUUUCAUCGAGGGUCUUCCUAAUUCAGAGUGUGCAAAUUCAAUAUUGGUGGUCGUUGACCGCUUAACAAAGUAUGCUCACUUUCUGCCCUUGCAUCAUCCUUUCACAGCAACUUCAGUGGCCAAAGUUUUCCUGGAUAAUGUGGUGAAACUACAUGGUAUUCCCAAAACCAUUAUCUCUGAUCGUGAUAAGAUCUUCACUAGUAAGUUUUGGAGAAACCUCCUGCAAUCCAUGGGUAUUGAGCUCCACUACAGCACAGCUUACCAUCCGCAAACAGAUGGUCAGAGCGAACGAGUAAAUCAAUGUUUGGAGCAGUAUCUUCGUUGUGCUGUACAAGACAAUCCUCGUCAUUGGCGUCGUUGGCUAUCCAUGGCAGAGUUCUGCUACUAG
RNAcentral lists this ribosomal RNA (651 nucleotides) under Triticum aestivum (bread wheat). Its description in RNAcentral is "partial small subunit ribosomal RNA". The record is from RNAcentral. Lineage: Eukaryota; Viridiplantae; Streptophyta; Magnoliopsida; Poales; Poaceae.